CACAGGAUUCCUGCUUCUGAUGGUUGCAGCCUCUCUUGCUGGUAGGAAGGGGCUGGAAACUUCACCCCUUCCACCCCAAUUGCCAGAAGAACAGAUUUCCAUUGUCUGAUGUGGCUGCUGACUGUUAAAGUGAGCUUGGAACACAUUUACAGGUCUUUUGGAAAGGGAUUGGAAGAUCCUGGGGUUUUCCUGUCAAGUGAUAAGAAAAAUGGCAAAAUGAAUCAUUCUUGCCUGCAGGGAUGACAUUUAUGUGGCUUUACAUCUCUUCCAAGGAGAAAAGCAUUUGACCAUGGUGACCUGAUGCCCUCCUUUUCCAGGACAUGUCCUGCAUUUCAUCCUUCUCUCCAGGAGGAAUUCCAAAAUGCCCUCCAUCUUGAGUAUGA
Molecule: long non-coding RNA, 383 nt
Organism: Sceloporus undulatus (fence lizard)
Lineage: Eukaryota; Metazoa; Chordata; Lepidosauria; Squamata; Phrynosomatidae
Exons: 3
Source: RefSeq, a predicted model, not a curated record